This 254-nucleotide ribosomal RNA is filed under the name uncultured bacterium. RNAcentral's name for it is "partial 16S ribosomal RNA". It matches the Rfam family "Bacterial small subunit ribosomal RNA", at positions 524 to 776 of the family's 1533-position model. The record is from RNAcentral.
UACGUAGGGGGCGAGCGUUGUCCGGAUUUAUUGGGCGUAAAGAGCUCGUAGGCCGUUCGGUAAGUCAGAUGUGAAAACUCCAGGCUCAACUUGGAGAGGCCAUCUGAUACUGCCGUGACUUGAGUCCGGUAGGGGAGCACGGAAUUCCUGGUGUAGCGGUGAAAUGCGCAGAUAUCAGGAGGAACACCAGCGGCGAAGGCGGUGCUCUGGGCCGGUACUGACGCUGAGGAGCGAAAGCGUGGGGAGCGAACAGG